CGACGGCAAUCGAAGAACCUUACAGGGUUUGAAUGUAUCUGCAUGCCUUAUGGAAAAUAGGGAGGGCCUUCGAGGGUGAUACACAGGUGCUGCAUGGCCGCCGUCAGCUCGUGUCGUGAGGUGUAGGGUUAAGUCCCGAAACGAGCGCAACCCUAUUCUAUGUUACAAGUGUCUUAGAAAACCGCCUCGGUAAAACGAGGAGGAAGGUGGGGAUGACGUCUGGUCCGCAUAGCCCUUAUGUCCUGGGCCACACACGCGCUACAAUGGCCGAUACAGUAGGAAGCCAAAUCGUAAGAUGGAGCUAAUCCUUAAAGUCGGUCUCAGUUCGGAUUGAGGUCUGAAAUUCGACCUCAUGAAGUUGGAUUUGCUAGUAAUCGUAGAUCAGCAAUGCUACGGUGAAUACGUUCUCGGGUCUU
RNAcentral lists this ribosomal RNA (416 nucleotides) under uncultured Thermovirga sp. RNAcentral's name for it is "bacterial SSU rRNA". It matches the Rfam family "Bacterial small subunit ribosomal RNA", at positions 952 to 1382 of the family's 1533-position model. Lineage: Bacteria; Thermotogati; Synergistota; Synergistia; Synergistales; Thermovirgaceae. The record is from RNAcentral.